This 373-nucleotide long non-coding RNA is filed under the name Homo sapiens (human). RNAcentral describes it as "LHRI_LNC1022.1". The record is from RNAcentral. Lineage: Eukaryota; Metazoa; Chordata; Mammalia; Primates; Hominidae.
UAUAUGUCCAUCUAUGUGGCCAUCUUCUCAUUUUAAUUACCAAUACAUGUUUCAGCUUGCUUUUUGGAAAAAGUGUUGAGAUGCAAAUGUGUCUUUGGAAGUGUCACUGAGAAACCCAAGGUCUAUCUGGCAUUCCGCUCCUGGCGGCAGACCGUAGUCUUUGUCCACGGGUUGGGAAGAGAGCUGUGAAACAGGGAGGCCUUGCCGACUGUCCUACCUGCAAUCUGGACUUUGCACAUGGAGCCUCUACUUAGGGGAUUAGUUUUUUGACUACUGCUGUUUGAUUUUUGCUUUUUAAUUGGGUUAUUUGAGGUGAAUGCAUGGUUUAGGUUUCUCGUUCUUUGUGUUGGACAGAAUUAAAGGGAAAUUUGAG